AAGCCCUUCGGGGCUCUCUGGUGAUUCAUAAAUAAACUUUCGAAAUCGCACGGGCUUGCGCCGGCGAUGGGUUCAUUCAAAUUUCUGCCCUAUCAACUUUCGACGGCUGGGUCUUGGCCAGCCGUGGUGACAACGGGGUAACGGAGGGUUAGGGCUCGACCCCGGAGAAGGAGCCUGAGAAACGGCUACUACAUCCAAGGAAGGCAGCAGGCGCGCAAAUUACCCAAUCCCGACACGGGGAGGUAGUGACAAUAAAUACUGAUACAGGGCUCUUUCGGGUCUUGUAAUCGGAAUGAGUACAAUUUAAAUCCCUUAACGAGGAACAAUUGGAGGGCAAGUCUGGUGCCAGCAGCCGCGGUAAUUCCAGCUCCAAUAGCGUAUAUUAAAGUUGUUGAGGUUAAAAAGCUCGUAGUUGAACCUUGGGCCUAGCCGGCCGGUCCGCCUCACCGCGUGCACUGGCUCGGCUGGGUCUUUCCUUCUGGAGAACCUCAUGCCCUUCACUGGGUGUGCUGGGGAACCAGGACUUUUACUCUGAACAAAUUANAUCGCUUAAAGAAGGCCUAUGCUCGAAUACAUUAACAUGGAAUAAUAAAAUAGGACGUGGGGUUCUAUUUUUGUUGGUUUCUAAGGACCGCCGUAAUGAUUAAUAAGGACAGUCGGGGGCAUCAGUAUUCAAUUUGUCAAAAGGUGAAAUUCUUGGGAAUUUAUUUGAAGAACUAACUACUGGCGAAAACCAUUUUGCCAAGGAUGUUUUUCCUUUUAAUCA
Molecule: ribosomal RNA, 766 nt
Filed under: Chaetomium sp. ASR-122
Lineage: Eukaryota; Fungi; Ascomycota; Sordariomycetes; Sordariales; Chaetomiaceae
Description: SSU rRNA
Rfam family: Eukaryotic small subunit ribosomal RNA
Source: RNAcentral